AUGCAGUCCGCGUUCUGAAACUACUGUGAGAGACCUUUUCCCUUGCCAGAAGAUCCUCCUGCUCAGAUGCUGUUGGCCUGGUCCAGCCUGCUCCCAUCUCCAUGAGACUCUUUCUGUUCUUGCCGAGCUCCAGCCCUUGGUGGGGUCCAUCUUCCCUGAAUCCAGCCCUCUCAGUUGGUGGACAGGUCCCGGGCAAACCCAGCUGGAAUACAGCUCCCUGACCAGCUCUGCACACCCUGUGGGGAACUGACCAGAGAAACUCAUGAUACCUGAAGUCACCUCUUCUGAAUCACUGGUGUGAAAAGAGAAGCAACAUAUCUUUCAG
Myiozetetes cayanensis is the source of this 325-nucleotide long non-coding RNA. RefSeq lists it as uncharacterized. The transcript has 3 exons. The record is from RefSeq and is a predicted model, not a curated record. Lineage: Eukaryota; Metazoa; Chordata; Aves; Passeriformes; Tyrannidae.